RNAcentral lists this ribosomal RNA (396 nucleotides) under uncultured bacterium. Its description in RNAcentral is "partial 16S ribosomal RNA". It matches the Rfam family "Bacterial small subunit ribosomal RNA", at positions 523 to 918 of the family's 1533-position model. The record is from RNAcentral.
AUACGUAGGGGGCGAGCGUUGUCCGGAAUGAUUGGGCGUAAAGGGCGCGUAGGCGGCCUGUUAAGUCUGGAGUGAAAGUCCUGUUUUCAAGAUGGGAAUUGCUUUGGAUACUGAUGGGCUUGAGUGCAGGAGAGGUUAUCGGAAUUCCCGGUGUAGCGGUGAAAUGCGUAGAGAUCGGGAGGAACACCAGUGGCGAAGGCGGGUAACUGGACUGCAACUGACGCUGAGGCGCGAAAGUGUGGGGAGCAAACAGGAUUAGAUACCCUGGUAGUCCACACUGUAAACGAUGAAUGCUAGGUGUAAGAGGUAUCGACCCCUUUUGUGCCGGAGUUAACACAUAAGCAUUCCGCCUGGGGAGUACGGCCGCAAGGUUGAAACUCAAAUGAAUUGACGGGG